UGGGGAAUAUUGCACAAUGGGCGAAAGCCUGAUGCAGCGACGCCGCGUGAGGGAUGACGGCCUUCGGGUUGUAAACCUCUUUCAGCAGGGAAGAAGCGAAAGUGACGGUACCUGCAGAAGAAGCGCCGGCUAACUACGUGCCAGCAGCCGCGGUAAUACGUAGGGCGCAAGCGUUGUCCGGAAUUAUUGGGCGUAAAGAGCUCGUAGGCGGUUAGUCGCGUCUGCUGUGAAAACUCGAGGCUCAACCUCGGGCUUGCAGCGGGUACGGGCUGACUAGAGUGCGGUAGGGGUGACUGGAAUUCCUGGUGUAGCGGUGGAAUGCGCAGAUAUCAGGAGGAACACCGAUGGCGAAGGCAGGUCACUGGGCCGCAACUGACGCUGAGGAGCGAAAGCAUGGGGAGCGAACA
Molecule: ribosomal RNA, 407 nt
Filed under: uncultured prokaryote
Description: bacterial SSU rRNA
Rfam family: Bacterial small subunit ribosomal RNA
Source: RNAcentral